This 65-nucleotide transfer RNA is filed under the name Dipodomys ordii (Ord's kangaroo rat). It matches the Rfam family "tRNA", at positions 7 to 64 of the family's 71-position model. From Rfam's summary of the family: Transfer RNA (tRNA) molecules are approximately 80 nucleotides in length. Their secondary structure includes four short double-helical elements and three loops (D, anti-codon, and T loops). Further hydrogen bonds mediate the characteristic L-shaped molecular structure. tRNAs have two regions of fundamental functional importance: the anti-codon, which is responsible for specific mRNA codon recognition, and the 3' end, to which the tRNAs corresponding amino acid is attached (by aminoacyl-tRNA synthetases). tRNAs cope with the degeneracy of the genetic code in two manners: having more than one tRNA (with a specific anti-codon) for a particular amino acid; and 'wobble' base-pairing, i.e. permitting non-standard base-pairing at the 3rd anti-codon position. The record is from Rfam by way of RNAcentral. Lineage: Eukaryota; Metazoa; Chordata; Mammalia; Rodentia; Heteromyidae.
GUGGCUCAGUGGUAGAGCGCUUGCCUUGCAUGCAUGAGGCCCUGGGUUCAAUUAUGUGGCUCAGC